This 126-nucleotide unclassified non-coding RNA is filed under the name uncultured Leotiomycetes. RNAcentral's name for it is "sequence contains ITS2". The record is from RNAcentral. Lineage: Eukaryota; Fungi; Ascomycota; Leotiomycetes.
UGCGUCGUAAGGCCCAGCCUUGUGUUGAGAUUUCCUGGCAAGGAACUUUCGAAACUGAUGGGCGUCUCGUCGUGCCUGAACCGCAACACAAUGCGAGCAGGGCCGGCGGCCGCCGAAAACCGUCAU